Molecule: long non-coding RNA, 1374 nt
Filed under: Mus musculus (house mouse)
Lineage: Eukaryota; Metazoa; Chordata; Mammalia; Rodentia; Muridae
Description: RIKEN cDNA 4930405N21 gene
Source: RNAcentral
UAUAAGGAUAAGAAAAAUUUUUUUUCUAGAACUAAGUGCACUCUCUCUUAACUUAGGACUCCCUAAGCACACUGGCUGUCGCAAGAUGCUCUAAUUCCCCCUCUUGAAGCUAAUCUUGGGAGUUCACUCAUCCUAGCUCCUGUGCAUCGAGAUUAUCUUUUCUUGGUUGAUUUUUUUUCAAACAAUCUCCAUACUGGAUUGGAAAAGCCAACCUCUGCCCUGACCUGAGUGACUGCCUUCUUGUGAAGGCUACCACCACAAUAGGUCCUCCUAAUCCUUUUGGAUACAAACAACAAACCUUCUAGAAAGUACUUUUGGUGUGCUUCGGGCUCACUCUGUGAGAAACGAGCAGGCCCUGGGAACCGCAUCUCCAUCACAGAAUAGGGAAUAGACAGAGACUGGCUGGCUGAGCUCCUUUUCCAGACACACAUGGCUUUUAUCUCAGGCCAUCAAGGCACCAAAAAAUCACCCCUCCCUGUGCCCUCCUAAGCUGUUCACACUUACCCUACGGAAACAAGAGAACUUUCUGCACAGCUCUUUUUUGAGCAUUUUAAAGGCCAAGAUGCCCUUUUGGCUGGAGUCACCCUGAGAACUGAAGCCUGCUCAUAGGCCACUGUUCGCUGAGCUGCAUAUGAAAGUGCCACAGGCUAAUUAUAACAGCUCUGGCCAUGACGGAGCCACGGUGGCAGCCUUCAAUUCGGAAACAGAAAGUCAGCGUUAACUGUGACCACAGGCUAACGCUACCCCAAAGGCACCAGCGACCAUGUCCCAAUCCUCACAUGAUGCGGGCAAGGAGGAUCAGGGAGAGCCGCGGAAAGACUUUACGGUGGAUGACUUAAGUCAAGGGGCAGAAGUCGUUAUUAUUGAGAACAGUUACUGCCAAGCAAGUUUUCAUAUGGGAACAGUAAAAAGCCACAUCUGAAACCUGUCUAUACCUUAAUUUGAUGGCUAUUAGUAAAGCAAGCCUGUCUGCCGUUUUCGAAACAAGAAACCUAGCAGUUUAACCCGAUAAGUUAACCAAUGAACUAACGUCGUGGUGGAUUGUUUUGACAUAAGGAGCUAGUUGCCUGUAUGUCACUGCCCAGACAGUUGCUUGGGGCUCCUGCGUCUCUAUGGCACCGAGGGCAGAGGCAGCCUUUGGCCAUCAGCCCCAGAAGACGAAGAGGCUUUUCCUGCAGAGGAGGAACAUGGGAGACUGGCCUAUCCUUGUCUACAGCACCGUGUGGCGAUCAGUUCUGCCCUCCAUCCACAGCUCAGGCCAGGUCUUGGCAGCAGCAGGCAAGACAUCAGGACAGUUAUGCCCAGUGGUUAUCAUACCACCAUCCAGGUGGUGUCCUCUGCCAUUGUGCCCACCAAUUUUCAGAGACCUCGGUG